ACUCCUACGGGAGGCAGCAGUGGGAAUAUUGCACAAUGGGGGAAACCCUGAUGCAGCCAUGCCGCGUGUGUGAAGAAGGCCUUGGUUGUAAAGCACUUUCAGUAGGGAGGAAGGUAGUGUAGUUAACACCUGCAUUAUUUGACGUUACCUACAGAAGAAGCACCGGCUAACUCCGUGCCAGCAGCCGCGGUAAUACGGAGGGUGCGAGCGUUAAUCGGAAUUACUGGGCGUAAAGCGCAUGCAGGCGGCCUGUUAAGUCAGAUGUGAAAGCCCGGGGCUUAACCUCGGAAUUGCAUUUGAAACUGGCAGGCUAGAGUCUUGUAGAGGGGUUAGAAUUUCAGGUGUAGCGGUGAAAUGCGUAGAGAUCUGAAGGAUACCAGUGGCGAAGGCGGCCCCUGGACAAAGACUGACGCUCAGAUGCGAAAGCGUGGGAGCAAACAGGAUUAGAUACCCCUGGUAGACUGUCA
RNAcentral lists this ribosomal RNA (467 nucleotides) under uncultured bacterium. RNAcentral's name for it is "bacterial SSU rRNA". It matches the Rfam family "Bacterial small subunit ribosomal RNA", at positions 335 to 802 of the family's 1533-position model. The record is from RNAcentral.